CCUAUAAGACUGGGAUAACUUCGGGAAACCGGAGCUAAUGCCGGAUAACAUUUGGAACCGCAUGGUUCUAAAGUAAAAGAUGGUUUUGCUAUCACUUAUAGAUGGACCCGCGCCGUAUUAGCUAGUUGGUAAGGUAACGGCUUACCAAGGCAACGAUACGUAGCCGACCUGAGAGGGUGAUCGGCCACACUGGAACUGAGACACGGUCCAGACUCCUACGGGAGGCAGCAGUAGGGAAUCUUCCGCAAUGGACGAAAGUCUGACGGAGCAACGCCGCGUGAGUGAUGAAGGUUUUCGGAUCGUAAAACUCUGUUAUUAGGGAAGAACAAAUGUGUAAGUAACUGUGCACAUCUUGACGGUACCUAAUCAGAAAGCCACGGCUAACUACGUGCCAGCAGCCGCGGUAAUACGUAGGUGGCAAGCGUUAUCCGGAAUUAUUGGGCGUAAAGCGCGCGUAGGCGGUUUCUUAAGUCUGAUGUGAAAGCCCACGGCUCAACCGUGGAGGGUCAUUGGAAACUGGGAAACUUGAGUACAGAAGAGGAAAGUGGAAUUCCAUGUGUAGCGGUGAAAUGCGCAGAGAUAUGGAGGAACACCAGUGGCGAAGGCGACUUUCUGGUCUGUAACUGACGCUGAUGUGCGAAAGCGUGGGGAUCAAACAGGAUUAGAUACCCUGGUAGUCCACGCCGUAAACGAUGAGUGCUAAGUGUUAGGGGGUUUCCGCCCCUUAGUGCUGCAGCUAACGCAUUAAGCACUCCGCCUGGGGAGUACGACCGCAAGGUUGAAACUCAA
RNAcentral lists this ribosomal RNA (789 nucleotides) under uncultured Staphylococcus sp. RNAcentral describes it as "bacterial SSU rRNA". It matches the Rfam family "Bacterial small subunit ribosomal RNA", at positions 129 to 904 of the family's 1533-position model. Lineage: Bacteria; Bacillati; Bacillota; Bacilli; Caryophanales; Staphylococcaceae. The record is from RNAcentral.